GACAGAGGGCGCGAGCGUUACCCGGAUUUACUGGGCGUAAAGGGCGUGUAGGCGGCUUGGGGCGUCCCAUGUGAAAGGCCACGGCUCAACCGUGGAGGAGCGUGGGAUACGCUCAGGCUAGACGGUGGGAGAGGGUGGUGGAAUUCCCGGAGUAGCGGUGAAAUGCGCAGAUACCGGGAGGAACGCCGAUGGCGAAGGCAGCCACCUGGUCCACAGGUGACGAUGAGGCGCGAAAGCGUGGGGAGCAAACCGG
RNAcentral lists this ribosomal RNA (253 nucleotides) under uncultured bacterium. RNAcentral's name for it is "partial 16S ribosomal RNA". It matches the Rfam family "Bacterial small subunit ribosomal RNA", at positions 524 to 776 of the family's 1533-position model. The record is from RNAcentral.